GGGGGUAGAGCACUGUUUUGGCUAGGGGGACAUGGAGUCUUACCAAACCAAGGCAAACUCCGAAUACCUGGAAGCGUGAGCACGGGAGACAGAGCACCGGGUGCUAACGUCCGGACUCAAAAGGGAAACAACCCAGACCGCCGGCUAAGGUCCCAAAUAACAGCUAAGUGGAAAACGAAGUGGAAAGGCCGUGACAACCAGGAAGUUGGCUUAGAAGCAGCCAUCCUUCAAAGAAAGCGUAAUAGCUCACUGGUCGAGUCCUUCUGCGCGGAAGAUGUAACGGGGCUAAGCUGUUAACCGAAGCCGCGGAUGCGCUGGUUAUCCAGUGCGUGGUAGGGGAGCGUUCUGUAAGUCUGCGAAGGCGGUUCGAGAGGACUGCUGGAGAUAUCAGAAGUGCGAAUGCUGACAUGAGUAACGUUAAAGCAGGUGAAAAGCCUGCUCGCCGUAAGCCCAAGGAUUCCUGCUCUACGUUCAUCGGAGCAGGGUGAGUCGGCUCCUAAGGUCAGGCCGAAAGGCGUAGCCGAUGGGAAUCAGGUUAAUAUUCCUGAACCUGCGUCAGAUGCGAUGGGGGGACGGAGCAUGGAAGAUCAUCCGGGUGUUGGAAGUCCCGGUUGUUUAGCGUAGGAGGUCUGCAGGCAAAUCCGCAGACGCAUCUCCAAGGCAAAGACACGUGCCGCCACGGCGGCGAAGUGAUCGGAAGUGCUUCCAAGAAAAGCCUCUAAGCUUCAGUCUGAUGCGGACCGUACCGCAAACCGACACUGGUGGGCGAGCUGAAUAUGCUCAGGCGCUUGAGAGAACUCGGGAGAAGGAACUCGGCAAAUUGACACCGUAACUUCGGAAGAAGGUGUGCCGUAGUACCGUGAGAGGAGAGACACCUUGAGCGAGAAACGGUCUCAGAGAAUAGGUGGCUGCGACUGUUUAUUAAAAACACAGCACUCUGCAAAGUCGAAAGACGACGUAUAGGGUGUGAUGCCUGCCCGGUGCUGGAAGAUUAAUUGAUGGGGUGAGAGCCCUUGAUCGAAGUCCCAGUAAACGGCGGCCGUAACUAUAACGGUCCUAAGGUAGCGAAAUUCCUUGUCGGGUAAGUUCCGACCUGCACGAAUGGCAUAACGAUGGCCACACUGUCUCCUCCCGAGACUCAGUGAAGUUGAAAUGUUUGUGAUGAUGCAAUCUACCCGCGGCUAGACGGUAAGACCCCAUGAACCUUUACUGCAGCUUUGCAUUGAACUGUGAACCGAUUUGUGUAGGAUAGGUGGGAGGCAGAGAAGAGGCCACGCCAGUGGCCUUGGAGCCGACCUUGAAAUACCACCCUGAUUUGUUUGCGGUUCUAACCACGGACAGUGAUCCUGUCUUGGGACCGUGCAUGGUAGGCAGUUUGACUGGGGCGGUCUCCUCCUAAAGGGUAACGGAGGAGUACGAAGGUACGCUAGGUACGGUCGGAAAUCGUGCUGAUAGUGCAAUGGCAAAAGCGUGCUUGACUGCGAGAGCAACAACUCGAGCAGAUGCGAAAGCAGGUCAUAGUGAUCCGGUGGCUCUGAAUGGAAGGGCCAUCGCUCAACGGAUAAAAGGUACUCUGGGGAUAACAGGCUGAUACCGCCCAAGAGUUCAUAUCGACGGCGGUGUUUGGCACCUCGAUGUCGGCUCAUCUCAUCCUGGGGCUGUAGUCGGUCCCAAGGGUAUGGCUGUUCGCCAUUUAAAGAGGUACGUGAGCUGGGUUUAAAACGUCGUGAGACAGUUUGGUCCCUAUCUGCCGUGGGCGUUGGAAGAUUGACGGGGGCUGCUCCUAGUACGAGAGGACCGGAGUGGACGCACCUCUGGUGUACCGGUUGUCACGCCAGUGGCAUUGCCGGGUAGCUAAGUGCGGAAGAGAUAACCGCUGAAAGCAUCUAAGCGGGAAACUUGCCUGAAGAUGAGUCUUCCCGGAGGUUGAACCUCCCUCAAGAGUCGUCCGAGACCAGGACGUCGAUAGGUCAGGUGUGUAAGCGCUGUAAGGCGUUGAGCUAACUGAUACUAAUUGCUCGUGAGGCUUGAUCCU
Molecule: ribosomal RNA, 2035 nt
Filed under: human gut metagenome
Description: bacterial LSU rRNA
Rfam family: Bacterial large subunit ribosomal RNA
Source: RNAcentral